This is a small nuclear RNA of Vicugna pacos (alpaca), 165 nucleotides long. Its record names the gene U1. It matches the Rfam family "U1 spliceosomal RNA". From Rfam's summary of the family: U1 is a small nuclear RNA (snRNA) component of the spliceosome (involved in pre-mRNA splicing). Its 5' end forms complementary base pairs with the 5' splice junction, thus defining the 5' donor site of an intron. The record is from Ensembl. Lineage: Eukaryota; Metazoa; Chordata; Mammalia; Artiodactyla; Camelidae.
GUACUUAACUGGCAGGGAGGAUACCAUGAUCACAAAGGUGGUUCUCCCUGGGCGAGGCUUAUCCAUUGCACUCUGGAUGUGCUGACCCUAUGAUUUCCCCAAAUGUGGGAAACUCAGCUGCAUAACUUGUGGUAGUUGAGGAGUGUGUUCAUGCUCUCCCCUGAA